RNAcentral lists this small RNA (865 nucleotides) under Pan troglodytes (chimpanzee). Its description in RNAcentral is "processed transcript". The record is from RNAcentral. Lineage: Eukaryota; Metazoa; Chordata; Mammalia; Primates; Hominidae.
AUUAGCAUCCCUUGUCUUCCGCGGUGUUGCAGACUUAUCCUCAGCUCAAGCGAGUUUGGGGCGUUAUAGAGCCAGCCAAGUAUCCCCUUGCUGGCGUGGGUACUUGUGCAGAAACUUCCCGAGGUGCUUCUGAGACUGCACAGUGAAGACCGCCGCACUGGAGGUCAGCGCUCCGCCGCGGACUCCCGGCUGACUCUGCCACUCUCCCAGGAGGAGGCGCUGUGCACCUCUGGGUGGUUUCCAGGGCUCGGCUGGCGGUAGAGGGAGCCUUGAGGUUGGAAAAGAUCUAGAGCUAUAAUCUCCGAAAGGAAGAUUUGUAAUGCACUGCGAGUUAGAAAUGUUUUUCUCAUUGCAGCUUCCUUGUUUCAAAAAGAGAAUUUUUGACAGCACUGCAAAGGCACAAGAAACCAGGCACAGUAUAAAAUAUACAAAUAAAACAGGUACCAAGGAACUUAAAACAUUCAACCCAUAACGUCGUCUAGGUUUUUCUGCUUUAAGAAAAUUGACUCAAUUCUUCCAAGAGAAUAACCCUAUUAAAGGUCAGAUUCCUGGAAAUAUCUGGAGGGUAAGAACCAGUGAAUGAAAAGAGAUGGUUAAUGCUUUGCAGUGAAGGAAAAGUGACUCGCAUCAGUAGAUUACUAUGAAGCUGCAAGAGGGUCUCACUCUGUCACCCAGGCUGAAGUGCAGUGGCAUGAUCACAGCUCACUGCAACCUCCGUCUCCUGGGCUCAAGCAAUUCACUGCAACCUCCACCUCCCAGACUCAAGUGAUUCUUCUACCUCAGCCUCCCAAGUAGCUGGGACCACAGGUCCUAUUCACUGGAAGGAAUUUUUCCCUAUUGCUGAUGGUGAUCAGCAAUCUCCGAU